CGAGGGGCUCGAGAGCAGCAGCCACGGCGGCUGAUCUGUUCGAUGAAGUCGCCUCUGUGUGAUAAGCCAGGAAUCUCCGGCGACCAGGGUUCGCUAGAAUCCAAUACGCCUUCCGCGCGGACGAUUCAGUUCGCAUCAAAGAUUCCAAACGUGGAGGAACGUUCUUCCGAUUCAUGGCACCGCCACACAGAUCCAACUCCCUCCUUCAAGCGGGGACAAGGCCUCGUCCCGUUCGUCGCACAGGGGCUGCUGGCCA
Molecule: long non-coding RNA, 256 nt
Filed under: Setaria italica (foxtail millet)
Lineage: Eukaryota; Viridiplantae; Streptophyta; Magnoliopsida; Poales; Poaceae
Description: long non-coding RNA (SITA_LNC005324)
Source: RNAcentral